Molecule: long non-coding RNA, 810 nt
Organism: Scleropages formosus (Asian bonytongue)
Lineage: Eukaryota; Metazoa; Chordata; Actinopteri; Osteoglossiformes; Osteoglossidae
Exons: 2
Source: RefSeq, a predicted model, not a curated record
GCAUUUGGAAAAACUUGGUCAGCUUUCUGAGAACGGAAAACACUCCAGUCGGUCUUACUGCACUAUCUGGGGCUGAUUACUCGGUUUGAACACAACACAGCAUCAUCAUACCUCCUAAGAAAAGAGCAAGGGUCGUGAAUCCACAGGCUGAACCUGGUGUGGGGAGGAAGUACCUAAUUGAGAAUUUCUCAACACUUCCUUCGACCAGCGGUGACCUCAAAAAUGGUCAUGUUCUGCAAUUGUACGUCUGUGCAGCAAGAAGUAGUGGGACUGAAACAGAGAGACAAUUGAAAGCACGUUUUUCAUCCGAGGGCUCGUCUUUCUGUAAUUCCCUAGCAGCUGAUAUUAAAAGGAUUGUGAGAAAUUCAUUGGAAAAGUUCCAGCAACUCACAAACCCACAGGAAUUUGCAAAAUUCACAGCAAUAUGUGAGGAGCAGUUUCAACUCUUACAGCAGGCUGUUGAUCCUGAGGUCACAGCUCCUGUGGCCCAGUUACCAGCUCCUGAAGAUCCUGACGACGUGUCACCCAGCACAUCGAAGGAGACAUUAGCACUUUCACAUUCUGCCACGAUGACCAGUACCCCUGUCAGCCACCGUGAAGUCCACUCAGAGCCAGGGUCCUCUGGCAGUUCGAGGGGGCAUCGAGGUGACCCACUCACUCCUCGAAAGGCGAAGAUGAAGCGACGACUGGAAUUCAUGUCUUCGAGGUACAGAACACUGAGGGAGCGAUACGUUGGAAAAGUGGUAGCGUUGAAAGGACAGCUUCGGACCCCAAGACGUGUCAUUAAUCAAGCUAUUCGGAGGCAGAGAG